UACGUAGGGUGCGAGCGUUGUCCGGAAUUACUGGGCGUAAAGAGCUCGUAGGUGGUUUGUCGCGUUGUUCGUGAAAACCUGAGGCUUAACCUUGGGCGUGCGGGCGAUACGGGCAGACUGGAGUACUGCAGGGGAGACUGGAAUUCCUGGUGUAGCGGUGAAAUGCGCAGAUAUCUGGAGGAACACCGGUGGCGAAGGCGGCAUCCUGGACCAACACUGACGCUGAGGAGCGAAAGCCAGGGGAGCAAACGGGG
This 254-nucleotide ribosomal RNA is filed under the name uncultured bacterium. RNAcentral describes it as "partial 16S ribosomal RNA". It matches the Rfam family "Bacterial small subunit ribosomal RNA", at positions 524 to 777 of the family's 1533-position model. The record is from RNAcentral.